GGGGGGGGGGGCUGGGGCUGUCAGAGUGCAGGGCCGGUUCAGCGGAGUGCUUUGAGAGGGAGGAGUGUUGUGUGGAGUCAGCGGUGGAGCAAUAAGAUUGUUUUCUUUUGGCCUGGAAAAGAAUGUUUGGGUCACUUUCAAAGGAUUAUCCUGCAGGGUCAUGUGGUUUAAUGCACGCUUUAAUCUCGCUUCAUUUCACCUUGUUGGAAGAAAAGUGGAUGAAGGCGUCAGUUUGAGCAAAGCCUGAUCCGUGCAGUCGGUGUCCCCAGUUUGUUUGCACACGGACUCUCAUGACUGACAGCAGAGUGGACUUUCACAUAGUUCACAGACGAUUACAAAAUCACAUAAUGGUGACACGAUGAAGAAAGAGGGGAAAAAAUUAAAUAUGAGGCCUUUUUUAUUUUGAUUUUGAUCUCACAGAGUCCAGAGGAAUGAUCCUUAAUCAGCCAGCCAAGCAAAAAAUAAAACAACAACAACAAACAAAGAUGAAGUGGAAGCAAAAAAUUAUAAUGAUAAAGUCCAAAAACAGGCUGGACAUGAAAACAGCCAACGCCAACCAGGAAACCACAAGAACACCAAGAACAGGAAGACCUCACACAAAGAAAAAGGAAAGAAGGAAACCUGCAGCGAGCAGCAACGCGACACAGCGUGAGGGGAGCAGGCGGGAAAUCAGCCGAUGCUGAGGGACAGCGGUGAGGCUCAUAUACUGUCAGUACGAACCACGGCAGUGAGAAACAGGUUCUAAUAGCAUUUGAUGUAAAAGGGCAAAGGUCAGAGGUCAAAGUCUGAUCAGGAUCCACUGAAAGCUUUUCCACCUAUCGUGUUUACAGACACUCAAACGCUACAAAAACCAUCACGUCCUUGGCUGAGGUGAGUGGGAAUCAAUGAAGAAACCCAAAAACCAUCGAGAUUCACUGCUUAAAGGUGCAGUAGGCACCAAGUUUAAGUGACUUCCAUCAGACAGGCACUGGGACCAGGACCGGGACCAGGACCGGGACCAGGACCUUUAAACAGCUUUGUAAAGUGAGACAUGUUUGGAGGCAAUCCCAAGAAAACAUCUUUCGCCCCUGAGGUUGCGUGCUGCAGCUAAACUUAGAGGCGGUCAGUUUAUCUGUGUGUGUACGUGUGUGUGUGUGUCAUGGUAGAAGAGAGUGUCUGGGGAUUUUGCAGCUGGAGUCGGUGUUUUUCCUGUGUCUGCCCUCGUGGGUGGAGUCCCUGGUGUCUCACCUGAGUUCCAUCCACGGUUAAUCAGCAGAAGGUUCUUGAGGCCAGCGCUGUCCUCCACUCGCCACCAGUUUGUCAGCUACGUUCUGGUGGGAACUAGGCCUUCAUGUACCGUGUUUUUGUGAUUUAGUCCUUGUGUUUAAUCUUGUUUCCCUGUUCCUUAGUUAGUGGUCAAUCUACAGACGCAUCCACUGCUGAAGCUUCUAUCGGACGCUGGUCAUACCUGGAAAGUUCAUCUGUAACCUUGGAAAAACAACUACUCACCACACUUACCUGCCUGGCCUCCUGCUCAUCGUUCUCCUCCUGGACUCCCUUGGAGCUGGAUCGGAUCUCUUGCUACUCCCACUGCUCUCACCUUGCCCGGACACUCGAGCCUGCAUCCGAGUCCUGAUUGGAUAAGGCAUAGACAGGAAGGGAAAAGUGAUGACUAUUAGUACAAAUGGAAGAAGAUGUGACCUUUAUCUGAAUGAUCCUGAGGUGGAUCCCCGACACGCUACUCGCACGCUACAGUUCAGGCUCAGCAGGCUGCAUUAUCACAGGAAUGCUACCUGCACACCUGUGUCACCUGCUGUUCACGUGAUUGGACCUUCGGAUAAGAGUGUGCUUUACAUGCUGAUGUGCAAACUGUGAAUGCAGCUCUUCCAGGAAUGAAGCGCAGCAGCGCUGCAUGCCUUUCAAACACACAACCAGAUGGUGCAGUCUGCUCUUUUGCACCAGCGCGUCUCACAAACACCAGUGAAACAUCACAGUUUGAUCAGGUGUGAACAGCAGCCAGUUGUUCAGCUGGUGCUGAACUUGUUCUCUGGGUUAAAAACAUCACAGCUGCUGCUGCCGGAUCUCUGAGCACCUCAAUGCUCAAACCUGUAACUCCAUCUCAUUCGCACGGAGUGAGCUCUGGGGCUAUGAGGAACACACUGAAGUGCCAAAACCUGCAGUCCCUCUAACGUCCAGCAGUGACUCCCCUUUCAUCAGAACUCUACAGGGCGGGGGGUUUAGAUUCACCAGUGUGGGUCAGCUGAAGGGAAAUGGCAGUUUUUGUGGAACUUGAGACGAUGAAAGUGUAUUCACGCCAUGUCUGUGCUACCUCUGUCAGCGGUGACAACGAAAUGAGAAGAACCGAGCCGGGGCCUUUCAGUGUAAGUUUUGCAUGUUCUCCCUGCGCCUGCAGGUUUCCCUCCACAGUCUAAAGACUCACAGGUCAGUUUGAUUCUACGCUGGCCAUGUGACGUGCUGUAUGAGUGUGCGGUCAGAGCACCCCAUGUAGUUCAAAGUGCUCCCAUUGAUCAGUAAGAGGUCAUAAGAUUAGAAAUGCAUCUGAGCUCUG
Long non-coding RNA from Oreochromis aureus, 2548 nucleotides. The record is from Ensembl. Lineage: Eukaryota; Metazoa; Chordata; Actinopteri; Cichliformes; Cichlidae.